AUUUCGCACCCCCCAAGACAUUUUUGGCCGAUAACACCAAUUUUCCUAUCAUUAGAGGCCGUUAGGACAACAACAAGUCCAUUAUGGACAAUGCAAUAUCACUUUGCUUGACAAGCUAAGCUUGAUCCUGGAAAGAGAGGAGCUCCCAAAAAGGUAUAAUUUAAAAUUUGUAUAGGCGGAUGCAUUAAGAUGUCUUUGUCUCAUGCUGAAAAAUACAAUUAGGGGCAUCUUUCACUGGAUCUGGAAAGGAGCACCACAAA
Long non-coding RNA from Nematostella vectensis (starlet sea anemone), 260 nucleotides. RefSeq lists it as uncharacterized. The record is from RefSeq and is a predicted model, not a curated record. The transcript has 2 exons. Lineage: Eukaryota; Metazoa; Cnidaria; Anthozoa; Actiniaria; Edwardsiidae.